Molecule: long non-coding RNA, 1455 nt
Filed under: Nicotiana tabacum (common tobacco)
Lineage: Eukaryota; Viridiplantae; Streptophyta; Magnoliopsida; Solanales; Solanaceae
Description: long non-coding RNA (NTAB_LNC008802)
Source: RNAcentral
UCAGACAUCCAAGGAAGGAUAAAAGCAGCAUGCACUCUCAAGCCUGGCGAAGGCGAAAGCACUUAGGCGGCCACUGCGAAUGUUUUGAGAAACAAGCCUUAAAAUGUAUCAUCAUAGGCAAAAAGAUUAUUUUAACAAAGAAAUAAAACAAAGCAACUUAUCAAAUUAAUCCCAAAAAAAAGUGUACCAUCCGAUAAUGAUCAGCAAAGCAUAAAAUAAAACAAUGCUGACAAAGUGAAGAAUGGAGUUCAAUUAUCAGGGACUUGUUCAUCCCUAAAGCAACUUUACAUUUGCUUAAGGGGCAGACAUUCUAGUCCCAAAUCCCCUGAUUUAUAAAACAAAGAUCCUAAUGUUUCCAAUAAGCUAUAAUCUUUAGCAACACAUAACAUUAAAAAUUCCAAAUUUGACAUCAAAAUGGUAGAUUAAAAGGCAAAAGUUACAAAAUGUAAUACUUGUAAGAUGAAAGUGUAUUGUCUCAGACAUCCAAGGAAGGAUAAAAGCAGCAUGAACUCUCAAGCCAGGCGAAGGCGAAAGCACUUAGGCGGCCACUGAGAAUGUUUUGAGAAACAAGCCUUAAAAUUUAUCAUCAUAGACACCAUAAGAUUAAGAUUCAACAAAAUAAAUCAAUGUACAAUGAUACUACAAACUAGUUAGCUAAUUGUAUAAAUUCUCUGCACAUUCUGCUCUAUAAAAACAAUUUAACAAAACUUGUUUGGACCGCAGCAAACGUUAUUGUUCCAGAUCCCCUGAUAUCAUAAAACAAAUAUCAUAAUAUUCAAAAAAGCUAUACUUUAGCCACAUAAAGCAAUAAAUAUUCCAAAUUCGGCUACAAAAUGACAGUUUCAACAGCACAAGCACCAAAAAAUAACAAAAAGGGCCAAAAUCACUAGUUGAAAAGGCAAAAGUUUUAAUUUUUUUAAAUAAUUAAAGGAGGUUGAAAAGGUGGUGUCUCAAACAUCCAAGGAAGGAUAAAAGCAGCAUUAACUCUCAAGCCUGGCGAAGGCGAAAGCUCUUAGUCGGCCACUGCGAAUGUCUUGAGAAACAAGCCUUCAGAUUUAUCAUCAUAGACACCACUUCAAUUGACAUUCAAUCAAUCAAUCAAUCAAAACACAAUGCACUUAAACUAAUAAAGGUCUAUUAUAAGAAUCGUCAGUCUAGUAAUUUAAUUUUAAAAACAGCAGCUAACAUUCAAAAUAAAUACAAAUAAACAAAGGCAAGAUUCAAGUUUGGAUUAUGAAGGGGGGAUCUCAGACAUCCAAGGAAGGAUAAAAGCAGCAUUUACUCUCAAGCCUGGCGAAGGCGAAAGCACUUAGGCGGCCACUGCGAAUGUUUUGAGAAACAAGCCUUCAAAUUCAUCAUCACCGAUCUCCCCAGUAUGAAAAAAAAAUGAAAAUUUUGAUUCCUUAUCAAUAACCCUAAUAGGAAAAAGUUUUGAUUUUGAAAAUAAAAAAGUUA